Molecule: ribosomal RNA, 253 nt
Filed under: uncultured bacterium
Lineage: Bacteria
Description: partial 16S ribosomal RNA
Rfam family: Bacterial small subunit ribosomal RNA
Source: RNAcentral
UACCGAGGGUGCGAGCGUUAAUCGGAAUUACUGGGCGUAAAGGGCGCGUAGGCGGUUUAUUAAGUUGGAUGUGAAAUCCCUGGGCUUAACCUAGGAAUGGCAUCUGAUACUGAUAGGCUUGAGUGCGGUAGAGGGUAGUGGAAUUUCCGGUGUAGCGGUGAAAUGCGUAGAUAUCGGAAGGAACACCAGUGGCGAAGGCGGCGAUCUGGGUAGAUACUGACGCUGAGGUGCGAAAGCGUGGGGAGCAAACAGG